GAUGAACGCUGGCGGCGUGCCUAAUACAUGCAAGUCGAGCGAACAGACGAGGAGCUUGCUCCUCUGACGUUAGCGGCGGACGGGUGAGUAACACGUGGAUAACCUACCUAUAAGACUGGGAUAACUUCGGGAAACCGGAGCUAAUACCGGAUAAUAUAUUGAACCGCAUGGUUCAAUAGUGAAAGACGGUUUUGCUGUCACUUAUAGAUGGAUCCGCGCCGCAUUAGCUAGUUGGUAAGGUAACGGCUUACCAAGGCGACGAUGCGUAGCCGACCUGAGAGGGUGAUCGACCACACUGGAACUGAGACACGGUCCAGACUCCUAGGGUAGGCAGCAGUAGGGAAUCUUCCGCGAGGGGCGAAAGCCUGACGGAGCAACGCCGCGUAAGUGAUGAAGGUCUUCGGAUCGGAAAACUCUGUUAUUAGGAAAGAACAAAUGUGUAAGUACCUAUGCACGUCUUGACGGUACCUAAUCAGAAAGCCACGGCUAACUACGUG
Molecule: ribosomal RNA, 497 nt
Filed under: uncultured bacterium
Lineage: Bacteria
Description: partial 16S ribosomal RNA
Rfam family: Bacterial small subunit ribosomal RNA
Source: RNAcentral